RNAcentral lists this ribosomal RNA (447 nucleotides) under uncultured bacterium. RNAcentral describes it as "bacterial SSU rRNA". It matches the Rfam family "Bacterial small subunit ribosomal RNA", at positions 355 to 825 of the family's 1533-position model. The record is from RNAcentral.
UCGGGAAUUUUGGGCAAUGGGCGAAAGCCUGACCCAGCAACGCCGCGUGAAGGAUGAAGUAUUUCGGUAUGUAAACUUCGAAAGAAUAGGAAGAAUAAAUGACGGUACUAUUUAUAAGGUCCGGCUAACUACGUGCCAGCAGCCGCGGUAAUACGUAGGGACCAAGCGUUAGGCGGAAUCACUGGGCUUAAAGGGUGCGUAGGUGGAUGCGCAAGCGUCUUGUGAAAGCCCUCGGCCCAACCGAGGAAUUGCGGGGCGAACUGCGUGUCUUGAGGCAGGUAGAGGUCGUUGGAACGUUAGGUGGAGCGGUGAAAUGCGUUGAUAUCUAACGGAACACCGAAGGGGUAACCAGGCGACUGGACCUGUCCUGACACUGAGGCACGAAAGCGUGGGGAUCAAACAGGAUUAGAUACCCCCGUAGUCCCUGAGCGGGCUGGCAAGGCGCAU